Molecule: long non-coding RNA, 1052 nt
Filed under: Sarcophilus harrisii (Tasmanian devil)
Lineage: Eukaryota; Metazoa; Chordata; Mammalia; Dasyuromorphia; Dasyuridae
Description: lncRNA (ENSSHAG00000029908.1)
Source: RNAcentral
CAAGAAUCCACCUUUAAAGACAGCUCAUUUUCUUUCCAGAUGCCAUCCUCCCAGCUUCUCAAAGCUGUCACGUCCUGCUUGGCUUCUCCCCCUGAUGAAUCUGCUCUCCCGGCACUCAGCGCUGGCACUGGAGAAACAGCAAUUAAAGUGGCCAAUCAUGGGCACUCCUAAAUCACGGCUGAGUACUGGUGACAUGAUUAACGGCAGAUGCUCCAAGUGCUGGAGUCAGCAUGUUGGAUGCUUCCUUCCUUCCUUCUUCUCUGGCUACCUUGCAGCCACUUGACCUGGAUUUUCUCUGAAAUUUCCUGGAAAAGAUUCAACUUUAUUGGGGAAGGAGAGAAAUAUCUCAAUGGUUCUGUCCACGGGUGCCCUGUCCUGAGCUGCCUUUCUAACUUCCAGAAAUCACUGUGGUGGUGGCUUUCCAUCUUGCCAGGUAUGAGGUGGGCCAUGCUUGAGUUUAAACAGUUUGUUUUUAGACAUCUGCUUAAAAUCCACAUUUGGUUUCUUAAUAUCUUGACCUUGUUUAGUUGUUAAGGGUACGCAUGGGUGAUCUCUCAAUGUGGUGGCAGUGACUAGUGUGUAAGAACUCUACCUACCUCCUUUUUCAUUUUGGAUUUUUAUUUUGGAUAAUAAUGACUUAUGAAUGACAAGACAAGACAUAAGAAUGACAAGACAAGUAGGCAUGAAUAAUUUUUUGGAUAGCAGAUAACAUUACUUUAUCUUUAACCUUAACUCCACCAACUCUUCCAAACUUCCCUAUUACGGUUGAGGACACCACUUUAUCAUCAUCUCAAGCAAUCAGGUCUUCCGAGUCUUUGUGUCAUUUUCACCUCUCCAAUUAUCUUCACCAUAUGUAUCCAACUAGAUGUAAAAUCUUGGGAAUUCUACUUCCUUGUCCCUCACUUCCUUCACAUGCAUUGUGUUCUCUCUAUUUACAUAGUCUCCACUCUAGUUUAGGCCCUUAUCUCCUAUGUAAACUUUUAUGCUAGCCUCCCAAUUGUUCUCUUUGAUUCCAGUGUUUCUCCAUUUCAAUCCAUCCUUUAUUUAGCUGC